This 718-nucleotide small RNA is filed under the name Pan troglodytes (chimpanzee). Its description in RNAcentral is "retained intron". Lineage: Eukaryota; Metazoa; Chordata; Mammalia; Primates; Hominidae. The record is from RNAcentral.
UUGGAAUCCUUGUGACGAACUCAGCCUCGCACAGGGGAGGCUCUGAGGUUGUGUUCCUGGAAUAAGUAAAGCUGAGAUGGGGCAGGCUGAAUCAAGUGUCCUAUGUCAGGUUGAGUGACCUGUCUGAUGUCUCACACAUGGUGAGGGGGGUGCUUCCCUGCACUUGGAGCUCAGCCAGCAUUCUAGGUGAUGGAGCUGAGGGCCUUGGCUUGCCUGCCCAUUGUGGAUUGAAGAAACUGGAUGUCAGCUCACAGGGUGCAAGGGGCUCCCUAGGGUGGAGGCAAGUGGGCUUUUUGCUGGGUAGUUGGAUGCAGUAUUGUGAAGGCGCAUGACAGGAGAUUGAGGGGAGGUGGGGGUGCUCUGACCGACUGGGGGUUCCCUGAGGUACCUGAUCUCCCCUACAGGUGUGGUGGCUGGAGGCGGCCGAAUUGACAAACCCAUCUUGAAGGCUGGCCGGGCGUACCACAAAUAUAAGGCAAAGAGGAACUGCUGGCCACGAGUACGGGGUGUGGCCAUGAAUCCUGUGGAGCAUCCUUUUGGAGGUGGCAACCACCAGCACAUCGGCAAGCCCUCCACCAUCCGCAGAGAUGCCCCUGCUGGCCGCAAAGUGGGUCUCAUUGCUGCCCGCCGGACUGGACGUCUCCGGGGAACCAAGACUGUGCAGGAGAAAGAGAACUAGUGCUGAGGGCCUCAAUAAAGUUUGUGUUUAUGCCACCAG